ACGACCUUACUUGAAUAGGAUCUGUUCUAUAGGCUCGUACCUCUGUGUCCUUGAGUUUUACGGAGACAGGAAUCUAAGUCUGGUGGAUGAACCAUGGCUGUGUGAUUAGAGCGUGAUUAAUGGCUCUCCUCCUCCCUUGAGGGGGCGGAGCAACUGUAGAGGAUCGUUCUCAGCUCCUCGGUUUCGAGGACUGGGGUGGUCACACGGUUGUCUGACAGACU
Non-coding RNA from Punica granatum (pomegranate), 221 nucleotides. Lineage: Eukaryota; Viridiplantae; Streptophyta; Magnoliopsida; Myrtales; Lythraceae. The record is from Rfam.